CUAACUACGUGCCAGCAGCCGCGGUAAUACGUAGGUGGCAAGCGUAGUCCGGAAUUAUUGGGCGUAAAGGGCUCGCAGGCGGUUUCUUAAGUCUGAUGUGAAAGCCCCCGGCUCAACCGGUGAGGGUCAUUGGAAACUGGGGAACUUGAGUGCAGAAGAGGAGAGUGGAAUUCCACG
Molecule: ribosomal RNA, 177 nt
Filed under: Bacillus amyloliquefaciens
Lineage: Bacteria; Bacillati; Bacillota; Bacilli; Caryophanales; Bacillaceae
Description: partial 16S ribosomal RNA
Rfam family: Bacterial small subunit ribosomal RNA
Source: RNAcentral